RNAcentral lists this ribosomal RNA (1853 nucleotides) under Alphaproteobacteria bacterium. RNAcentral's name for it is "partial 23S ribosomal RNA". It matches the Rfam family "Bacterial large subunit ribosomal RNA", at positions 1 to 2002 of the family's 2925-position model. The record is from RNAcentral. Lineage: Bacteria; Pseudomonadati; Pseudomonadota; Alphaproteobacteria.
GAUCAAGCGUCAAAGGGCAUUUGGUGGAUGCCUUGGCACCAAGAGGCGAUGAAGGACGUAGCACGCUGCGAUAAGCCGCGGGGAGAUGCGAGCGAUCGUUGAUCCGCGGAUUUCCGAAUGGGGCAACCCCACCGCAAGGUGAUCGCCGACUGAAUCCAUAGGUCGGCGAGGCAAACCCGGGGAAUUGAAACAUCUCAUUACCCGGAGGAAAGGACAUCAACCGAGACUCCGCUAGUAGUGGCGAGCGAACGCGGACCAGGCCAGUGGCACAUGCGUAAGAACCGGAACGCUCUGGAAAGGGCGGCCAUAGCGGGUGAUAGCCCCGUACGGGUAGAAAGCGCGUGUGUCCUCGAGUAAGGCGGGACACGUGUAAUCCUGUCUGAACAUGGGGGGACCACCCUCCAAGCCUAAGUACUCCUUGGUGACCGAUAGUGCACUAGUACCGUGAGGGAAAGGUGAAAAGCACCCCGAUGAGGGGAGUGAAAAAGACCUGAAACCGAAUGCCUACAAGCAGUCGGAGCGGGACGUCUGGUUUCGGCCAGGCGGGUCCGUGACGGCGUACCUUUUGUAUAAUGGGUCAGCGAGUUCGUCUCAGUAGCAAGCUUAAGCCGAUAGGCGAAGGCGAAGCGAAAGCGAGUCUGAAUAGGGCGAUUCAGUUACUGGGAUGAGACCCGAAGCCGAGUGAUCUAGCCAUGGGCAGGCUGAAGGUGCGGUAACACGCACUGGAGGGCCGAACCCACUUCUGUUGCAAAAGCAGGGGAUGACCUGUGGCUAGGGGUGAAAGGCCAAUCAAACUCGGCAAUAGCUGGUUCUCCGCGAAAUCUAUUUAGGUAGAGCGUCGUGUUGACGCCGCCGGGGGUAGAGCACUGGAUGGGCUAGGGGGGCGCGAGCCUUACCAAACCUAACCAAACUCCGAAUACCGGCGAGCGAUUGCACGGCAGGCAGCCCAUGGGUGCUAAGGUCCGUGGGCGAGAGGGAAAGAGCCCAGACCGCCAGCUAAGGUCCCAAAGUCAUGGCUAAGUGGGAAAGGAUGUGAGACGGCAUCGACAACCAGGAGGUUGGCUUAGAAGCAGCCAUCCUUUAAAGAAAGCGUAACAGCUCACUGGUCAAGCUAUCUCGCGCCGAAAAUGUAUCGGGGCUCAAGCCAUGCACCGAAGCUGCGGGUUGGUAGGAUCUUCGGAUCUUGCCAGCGGUAGCGGAGCGUUCCGUAAGCCUGUGAAGGUGGCUCGUAAGGGCUGCUGGAGGUAUCGGAAGUGAGAAUGCUGACACGAGUAGCGACAAACAGUGCGAGAAACACUGUCGCCGUAAGUCCAAGGGUUCCUGCGCAAGGUUAAUCCGCGCAGGGUGAGCCGGCCCCUAAGGCGAGGCCGAAAGGCGUAGUCGAUGGGAACCAGGUUAAUAUUCCUGGGCCUGCUGGUGGUGACGGAGAUGGAAAGUCGUUCGCGGUUACUGGAUUCCGCGGGCGGCCGAAGUCUUCCAGGAAAUAGCCCCAGCGUAUAGUCCGUACCCUAAACCGACACAGGUGGACUGGUAGAGCAUACCAAGGCGCUUGAGAGAACGAUGUUGAAGGAACUAGGCAAAUUGCCCGCGUAACUUCGGGAUAAGCGGGACCCCAGAUUGCGCAAGCAGGCUGGGGUGGCACAGACCAGGGGGUGGCGACUGUUUACCAAAAACACAGACCUCUGCGAAUUCGUAAGAAGACGUAUAGGGGUUGACGCCUGCCCGGUGCUGGAAGGUUAAGAGGAGAGGUGCAAGCCUUGAAUCGAAGCCCCAGUAAACGGCGGCCGUAACUAUAACGGUCCUAAGGUAGCGAAAUUCCUUGUCGGGUAAGUUCCGACCUGCACGAAUGGCGU